Molecule: ribosomal RNA, 1556 nt
Filed under: Christensenellaceae bacterium
Lineage: Bacteria; Bacillati; Bacillota; Clostridia; Christensenellales; Christensenellaceae
Description: bacterial SSU rRNA
Rfam family: Bacterial small subunit ribosomal RNA
Source: RNAcentral
UAACAUUAGAGUUUGAUUCUGGCUCAGGACGAACGCUGGCGGCGUGCUUAAUACAUGCAAGUCGAACGGUGUUGAUUGCUGCACCAAGUUAUCUCAAAAGAGGUAGUUUGGUGCAGCGACCAGCAUAGUGGCGGACGGGUGAGUAACACGUGAAUAAUCUGCCUUUUAGAGGGGGACAACAACUAGAAAUAGUUGCUAAUACCGCAUAUGACCACAGCCCGGCAUCGGGUAGGGGUGAAAGGAGUAAUCCGCUAAAAGAUGAGUUCGCGCACCAUUAGUUAGUUGGCAGGGUAAUGGCCUACCAAGACUACGAUGGUUAGCCGGCCUGAGAGGGUGAUCGGCCACACUGGAACUGAGAUACGGUCCAGACUCCUACGGGAGGCAGCAGUAAGGAAUAUUGGGCAAUGGAGGAAACUCUGACCCAGCAACGCCGCGUGAAGGAAGAAGGUCUUCGGAUUGUAAACUUCUGUUAUUCGGGAAGAAGAUAGCGACGGUACCUAAUGAGAAAGCCCCGGCUAACUACGUGCCAGCAGCCGCGGUAAUACGUAGGGGGCAAGCGUUGUCCGGAAUAACUGGGCGUAAAGAGAGCGUAGGCGGUUUGAUAAGUCAAAUGUGAAAUCCCUCGGCUUAACCGGGGAAUUGCAUUUGAUACUGUUAGACUCGAGUGCAGGAGAGGUGAGUGGAAUUCCUAGUGUAGCGGUAAAAUGCAUAGAUAUUAGGAGGAACACCAGAGGCGAAGGCGGCUCACUGGACUGUAACUGACGCUGAGGCUCGAAAGCGUGGGGAGCAAACAGGAUUAGAUACCCUGGUAGUCCACGCCCUAAACGAUGGAUACUAAACGUGGGAGGUAUCGACUCCUUCCGUGUUGUAGCUAACGCGCUAAGUAUCCCGCCUGGGGAGUACGGUCGCAAGAUUAAAACUCAAAGAAAUUGACGGGGACCCGCACAAGCAGCGGAGCAUGUGGUUUAAUUCGACGUUACGCGAAAAACCUUACCAAGACUUGACAUUGUAUGCAUAGCCUGGAAACAGGUGAAAUUAUAGCAAUAUAACAUAUAAACAGAUGGUGCAUGGUUGUCGUCAGCUCGUGUCGUGAGAUGUUGGGUUAAGUCCCGCAACGAGCGCAACCCUUACUGUUAGUUGCCAUCAUUAAGUUGGGCACCCUAGCAGGACUGCCGUGGAUAACGCGGAGGAAGGUGGGGAUGAUGUCAAAUCAUCAUGCCUCUUACGUCUUGGGCUACACACGUGCUACAAUGGCCGUUACAAAGAGAUGCAAUAUGGUAACAUGGAGCAAAUCCCAAAAAGACGGUCUCAGUUCAGAUUGUGGGCUGCAACCCGCCCACAUGAAGUCGGAGUUGCUAGUAAUCGCGAAUCAGCAUGUCGCGGUGAAUGCGUUCUCGGGUCUUGUACACACCGCCUGUCACGUCAUGGGAGUUGGGAGUACCCAAAGUCGGCGAGCUAACCCGCAAGGGAGGCAACUGCCUAAGGUAAUACCAGCGACUGGGAUGAAGUCAUAACAAGGCAGCCGUACGAGAACGUGCGGCUGGAUCACCUCCUUU